AGAGUUUGAUCCUGGCUCAGAACGAACGCUGGCGGCAGGCUUAACACAUGCAAGUCGAACGAACUCUUCGGAGUUAGUGGCAGACGGGUGAGUAACGCGUGGGAACCUACCUUUAGGUACGGAACAACAGUUGGAAACGACUGCUAAUACCGUAUGUGCCCUAUGGGGGAAAGAUUUAUCGCCUAAGGAUGGGCCCGCGUUGGAUUAGCUAGUUGGUGGGGUAAAGGCCUACCAAGGCGACGAUCCAUAGCUGGUCUGAGAGGAUGAUCAGCCACACUGGGACUGAGACACGGCCCAGACUCCUACGGGAGGCAGCAGUGGGGAAUAUUGGACAAUGGGGGCAACCCUGAUCCAGCCAUGCCGCGUGAGUGAUGAAGGCCCUAGGGUUGUAAAGCUCUUUCAGCGAGGAGGAUAAUGACGUUACUCGCAGAAGAAGCCCCGGCUAACUUCGUGCCAGCAGCCGCGGUAAUACGAAGGGGGCUAGCGUUGUUCGGAAUCACUGGGCGUAAAGCGCACGUAGGCGGACUUUUAAGUCAGGGGUGAAAUCCCGGGGCUCAACCCCGGAACUGCCUUUGAUACUGGAAGUCUUGAGUCCGAGAGAGGUGAGUGGAACUCCGAGUGUAGAGGUGAAAUUCGUAGAUAUUCGGAAGAACACCAGUGGCGAAGGCGGCUCACUGGCUCGGUACUGACGCUGAGGUGC
This 700-nucleotide ribosomal RNA is filed under the name uncultured bacterium. RNAcentral describes it as "bacterial SSU rRNA". It matches the Rfam family "Bacterial small subunit ribosomal RNA", at positions 8 to 754 of the family's 1533-position model. The record is from RNAcentral.